This is a long non-coding RNA of Hermetia illucens (black soldier fly), 1311 nucleotides long. RefSeq lists it as uncharacterized. The record is from RefSeq and is a predicted model, not a curated record. NCBI's taxonomy places the organism in Eukaryota, Metazoa, Arthropoda, Insecta, Diptera, Stratiomyidae. The transcript is spliced from 3 exons.
AAUCCCCCCGGGGCCUGCACGCGUUGAGCGUGAUAACAUUUUUAUGAAUUUUUUUACAUUUAUUGGUCAGUGUUUUCAAGCAAGAUUUUGGCUUCUGUCUCUGCUUUUUGUUAUUAUAAAAUCUUUAGAAAAUUAUUGUUUUCUACUUGAGUUUUAGAUCCGAUUCGAAUUGAAUUCGCAUUCCGAUUUCAAACGGAAGUUAUUCCUCAAGAAAAUGAAUAGAAUGCAAAGAUUCUGUAAAACAAUUCAAGGAAAUAUAAGUUCCUUGGUUUCCUGAGAAUUCGUUAUGACAGCGGUAAAUAGUUCAACUGGAAAAUGUUGUAUGAUAUUUUGUAUCUGGUCGAAAGUAGUCAUUUGUAAGUGCGCAAUUUGUGUAAACGCAGGCAGCUAAAACGUGUAUAAAAUUACUUUUGAAAAGCUUCUUUUUGUUAAAGCGAUACCUCGUGGAAAAGUGUUAACCGAAGAAGAAAAAGUAUCACUUGCCAGAAUGGAAAAUUCGGGCUACACAUUGAGAGUGAUGGCGAAGGAAAUUGGUGGAUCCAACGGAGUUGUGCAGAAAUUCUUUAGAUUGAAGGGAAAAUACGGUACAAAAAAGCGUCCGCGUGGAAAUAAAAAAAAAAAAUCGGAAAAGAGAGAUCGUCUUGCUACUAGAAAUAAAGUCAGCUCGUGUCGGAACUACUUCUUUCUAUUAAAAAGAGACGGGUGCAGCAGAUUUUGCAUGCUAACAACAGCAUUAAAUACAAAAAGCCUGCUAAAGCCCCUCAGAAACACCGACACAUAAAGAGGCUCGUCUCAAACUAGCUAGAUCGUGGAUAAAAUGGGAAGAAGAAUGGAAGGUAGUAUUUUUUGCGGAUGAGAAGAAAUUCAACCUUAAGGGCCCAGAUGGAUUUAGCGGAUUUUAGCACGAUCUAAAAAACAUUUUUUUUUCCUCGAAUGAGUCACAACUUUGGUGGUGGCAGUGUUAUGGUUUGGGGGGCAUUUUCUUUUCACGGCAAGCUGCGACUGGGAAUCGUAACAACCAAAAUGAACUUAUUACUUUAAACUGAGCUUCUGGAAGCCAUUUUGAUGCCGUAUUUAGAUGAGAAUAAUAACAUUGACUGGACUUUCCAAUCGGACAACGCCGCAGUACAUGGUUCUGCAUACACGAAGUCAUUUUUAAAUGAUAAACAAACAAAACUUUAAAAUGCUGGGAGCAAAUUGAAGAAAAUACUUUAAAAAAUUUAAUAGCCUCAAUGCCAAAUCGAAUUUUUGAAGUCAAUAUAAGUAACUAGCCAAUAUGCGUUUAUUUAUUUCAAUAGGCUUAAGAGUGUA